GACAUUCAGUAAUUCCAAAACCUGCAACCAUCUUUUUUUUUUCCCUUGGGAGACUCCCUGAUUUAUUGUGAUAGAUGUUUGCUCCACCUUUUUUAGUAUUUCCAGGAUACUCACUCAGACCCUCAAUACUUUUUUGCUUUCACCUGGAAGAACAUACAAUGAAUGUGAACCCAUCAACCUCAAGGAUAUGUAGAAAAGCUCACCCUGUUUUCUCAAAUUUUGUAACAGAAUUUAGCUUCCAUCUCUUUCAAGGGAUUCAUCUCAGAUAUGGCACAUUGAUGAUCUACUAGCUGUACGUGGUGUUAAGAGUUGACAUGAUGACAGCCUCAUUUUCUUCCUCAUCAUCUUCUUCAGCCUCAUUUGAGAAAUCAUAAAUUUUCUAAAUCAAGAGUAGAGUUGCUUCUUUUAAGAACUUUAGAACCCAACCACUUGACUGUACUUGAAGACCUUAAAACAAUUUUAUCAGAUCCAGCACCAUGAGUCAUAGGUCUUAGUCAUUUCCUCGACACCCCACGAAUUAUGAGGUCCUGCUGGACGGGACAAGUGGAGCCCAACGUGGACUCGAGGAACGGACUCUCGACCAGGUGGACCCCUGAAGUCGUCCGGACCCCUAAUUCUGGUGAGUAGUUUCGUCCACCUCAUUUCAGUUAUGGGCCAUAAGCUUUCUAAGGAACAGAUCUUUGUUAAAGAUCUUAAGGAUUCACUCAGGGAAAGGGGAGUAAGGGUUAAGAAUUCAGCCUCUGUGUUGCAGGCUUAGAAAAUAUCAAGAAGUUUGAAAAAUCUUUCUCUCUCUCUGUCUCUGGCUGACUGCAGCAGCCUGUGAGAAAAAGGGAGAGAAAAGAAAAAAAAAGGAAAAAAAAAAGGAAAUGAAUAAAAAAAACAGAUUGAAAGGGAUUUGAAAGUUCAGAAAGUUAAAAUAUAUAUAGAAGAGCAGUGUGCUAACAUUUAAAGGAAAGAAGUUUGAAUGGAAUAUCUAGGCAUUCUCUGUGAAGGCAGAGAAAAGCACUAAAUGGGCUUGGAAGUUCACAGAAGCCCCUUUGGAUUCUGGAAUGGGAAAAGGGAAUUCAAGGUGAAACAAACCUCUCUCUGGGGGUUGAGGUCUUGGAAACAGCCCCUAGUCUGUUUGCUGAUUUAAGAGCUUUGCUAAGUUUUAAGAACAAUGAUUAAGGAAAAUUUGCUUGUGAUUUUAAAUUUGUUUUUAAGGAAAAGCCUACUAGAGUAAAGAGCAAUAAAAUUCAAACUUAGCCUGGCCUGGGCAAUAAAAAGCUCUGGAGAUAAGAUGCUAAUAAGAUGCUGUUAGAAGAAAUGUGGUGGAAAAGAAAAAAAAAACUUUUAAAGACAGCUGUAUUAGUUUGAUUCAGUUUGUUACCGUCUGAAAUAUAUUGAGUUAUUUGUUAAAGUAAGUUAUACUUUAAAUCCAGCUCUGCUGGACAUGUGUGGGUUUUGUGGAAGUUUGGGCUAUUCACUAUAGUGUGAAUCUUACAGGUUUUUGAAGGGAAAAGGAAAGAGGAUUACAGGUGAUUUAGGAAGGACUGAUUUGUAGGGGAAAUUAGAGGUUUGCAUGAUUUUAGGAAGGUGAAAGACUUUUGGGAGUAGGUGAAGAGGUGGGGGAGGGAGCCACCCACCCCCACUGCCUUCUGCUACUUUACCAAAGGAGCAUCUGGGAAGGAAAGUUCUUUAAGGAGAUUGUUUAAGUAUGUAGCUAGAGAGAAGGAGAAAGUUGGAAACAGGUGGAUUUGGGAAGUAAUCUGAUGUUGGGAAACUGAUGGGCUAAAUCUUGAAAAGGAUCCCCAUGUAGGAAAUCGAGUGGGGAACCUGAGGGAAGUUUUUUUCUAGGGGGUCAGGAGUGGGGGAAGGGUGGCCAUGUGGAAUCCUCUUCUCCCCUCACCCCUCUUAAGUAUGUUCCUGCCGCUUUUUUUCUUAUCUGAUUGUGGCAGUGCAGCAAACUGUGAUUUUUAAGGACAUGCUUACUUUUAGGUUAAAUGAUUGAAUAUUUGUUUUUUUGAUAGAUAAAAGUUUUCUUGGUUGAGGAAUAUGGUCAUAAAUGUGAUCCAUACUUUGGUCCGAGUAUUUCUAAAAGUUUUAAUUGCUAUGUUAAAAACCUUCUUGAAUUCUUUUAUGUGGAAUUGGGUCUUUUGUAUAAGUUUAAAUUGAUUGUAUUGGGUCAUCCUGAGGUUAUUUAAAGGGCCUCUGAACAUAAUAGCUUUUUCUUUGUCCUUUGAGAAUGUUUCUGUUAUGGACAAUAUGCAGUUUGGGAUAUUUUUCUAUGUAUUGGGUAUUUUAAAAGCAAAAUGAUUUGUAUGUAUAAUGUUCACUCAUGUAACAUCUACCUAGAUAUGAUAAUUGUUCUAAGUUGUGAACUUACUGAGGCAAAAUUUCUUUCUGUUAUUACUGUAAGGUUAUGGUAACUCUUUGUUUAAGAUUUCUCAGACAUUUGAUUAAUGACAUCUGUUAUUGGAGGUAAAGGUUUUUGGGCUUAGAGUUAAUUAGUUAAUGCUAUUUGGGAGUUUUAAAGCUCCACCCUCUGACAAUUACUGGGACAAUUGAUAAGCAGUUAAAACUCAA
Long non-coding RNA from Antechinus flavipes (yellow-footed antechinus), 2565 nucleotides. RefSeq lists it as uncharacterized. The transcript is spliced from 3 exons. The record is from RefSeq and is a predicted model, not a curated record. NCBI's taxonomy places the organism in Eukaryota, Metazoa, Chordata, Mammalia, Dasyuromorphia, Dasyuridae.